UAAGCUUAGUUGCCAUCAUUAAGUUGGGCACUCUAAGUUGACUGCCGGUGACAAACCGGAGGAAGGUGGGGAUGACGUCAAAUCAUCAUGCCCCUUAUGAUUUGGGCUACACACGUGCUACAAUGGACAAUACAAAGGGCAGCGAAACCGCGAGGUCAAGCAAAUCCCAUAAAGUUGUUCUCAGUUCGGAUUGUAGUCUGCAACUCGACUACAUGAAGCUGGAAUCGCUAGUAAUCGUAGAUCAGCAUGCUACGGUGAAUACGUUCCCGGGUCUUGUACACACCGCCCGUCACACCACGAGAGUUUGUAACACCCGAAGCCGGUGGAGUAACCUUUUAGGAGCUAGCCGUCGAAGGUGGGACAAAUGAUUGGGGUGAAGUCGUAACAAGGUAGCCGUAUCGGAAGGUGCGGCUGGAUCACCUCCUUUCUAAGGA
RNAcentral lists this ribosomal RNA (434 nucleotides) under Staphylococcus aureus. RNAcentral describes it as "bacterial SSU rRNA". It matches the Rfam family "Bacterial small subunit ribosomal RNA", at positions 1106 to 1533 of the family's 1533-position model. The record is from RNAcentral. Lineage: Bacteria; Bacillati; Bacillota; Bacilli; Caryophanales; Staphylococcaceae.